GACGCCGCGGCAGCCAUUGCUCAUAUUCUCAUAUCAAAUAUCGAUUGUCGAUUUGAUUUUUCGCUUGCGAAUUUCCAAAUUAUUUGAGUUGUAUUAGCAAUAUUAUGUGUGUUUAAGUGAUCACUAAUAUCCUAUAUAUUGCGCGAAUUACCCAGAGACCAACAUGGGAACAAGGCCUAUAUUUCGCUCAAGAGAAAAUGUUGUAUUGAUAGAUCUAUGGAGGAAAUAACAAAGAUGAGUCCAGAAUUUAGCCAAAAUGCAUAAUUUUCCAAAAAUACUGAAAAACCAAAAAUAUGACAAGAAUCUUUGAAAAUAUAACACAAUGCCUUUUGUAAUUAUGUUGUUUUGUGAUGAUAGUAAAAUUUGGUUGAUAUAAAACUAUUCCUGCUCUAUGAAUGACUCUGUGAUAACGUUACCCAGGAUUUAACUAAUUCAGGUACAGUUAAAGUGGAAUGAACUGAUAUUUUUAUAGAAACAGAACAAAACUACUAAAGGGAAACGAGGUGAAGAGCUGUAUGACAGAUGAAUCCGUCACUUGUCUUGUGGAAAACAUGCUUUCUUAUGGUUAAGAAGUGGUAUAUCAUCUUCAUGUUCUUUCAUAAUUGAAGCACCAUCAUUGUGUAUCAUGUAGAAAAACUGCCGACAUUCAUAG
Long non-coding RNA from Sitophilus oryzae (rice weevil), 652 nucleotides. RefSeq lists it as uncharacterized. The transcript has 4 exons. NCBI's taxonomy places the organism in Eukaryota, Metazoa, Arthropoda, Insecta, Coleoptera, Curculionidae. The record is from RefSeq and is a predicted model, not a curated record.